RNAcentral lists this long non-coding RNA (476 nucleotides) under Manacus vitellinus (golden-collared manakin). RNAcentral describes it as "lncRNA (ENSMVIG00005015751.1)". Lineage: Eukaryota; Metazoa; Chordata; Aves; Passeriformes; Pipridae. The record is from RNAcentral.
ACUGAUGAGAUCUAAUACCACCAAAAGAAAGGGCAUCCUCAAAAGAGUAGAAACUUCCUUCAAAUUAAGCAGAAAUUUUGGAGAAACCACAGCAGGAGGAAUGACGCUGCUUCCACUACAGUAUAUGAGAAAGAAGAUGUUUAUUCCUGUAGUGAAGAUAUAUCACUUAGGACAGCUUUUAACUGAGGACUGUGCCAAAGCUUCCCUGGUACUUUAUGUGAUCCACGCCGGUAAAGCUGAUUCAUGAAGGACUGCACCCCAUGGAGAAGCGACCCAUGGGACAGCAGUUUAGGAAGAGCUGUUGCCUGUGGGAUGGACUGACACUGGAGAGGUCCAUCAAGGCCUGUCUCCCAUGGGACGGACCCCACAGGAGCAGGGGAAGGACUCCUCUCUCUGAGCAGUGGCAGAAACAACAACUGACUGUAACCUCCAUUCCCCAUCUCCUGCACUGCUGAGGGGGAGGAGGGAGAACAUGG